Molecule: ribosomal RNA, 459 nt
Filed under: uncultured bacterium
Lineage: Bacteria
Description: partial 16S ribosomal RNA
Rfam family: Bacterial small subunit ribosomal RNA
Source: RNAcentral
CCUACGGGUGGCAGCAGUGAGGAAUAUUGGUCAAUGGCCGAGAGGCUGAACCAGCCAAGUCGCGUGAGGGAAGACGGCCCUACGGGUUGUAAACCUCUUUUGUCGGGGAGCAAAGCGAGUCACGUGUGACUCUUUGAGAGUACCCGAAGAAAAAGCAUCGGCUAACUCCGUCCCAGCAGCCGCGGUAAUACGGAGGAUGCGAGCGUUAUCCGGAUUUAUUGGGUUUAAAGCGUGCGUAGGCGGUUUGUUAAAUCCAGAAGAAAAGCCCGGGGCUUAACCUCGGUUCGUUCGGGAAACUGGCGGACUAGAGUAUGGUAGAGGCAAAUGGAAUUCGUAGUGUAGCGGUGAAAUGCGUAGAUAUUAGGAAGAACACCGGUGGCGAAGGCGAUUUGCUGGGCCAUCACUGACGCUGAGGUACGAAAGCGUGGGGAGCAAAUAGGAUUAGAUACCCGUGUAGUC